This 67-nucleotide transfer RNA is filed under the name Boraras maculatus (dwarf rasbora). RNAcentral's name for it is "tRNA-Tyr". It matches the Rfam family "tRNA". From Rfam's summary of the family: Transfer RNA (tRNA) molecules are approximately 80 nucleotides in length. Their secondary structure includes four short double-helical elements and three loops (D, anti-codon, and T loops). Lineage: Eukaryota; Metazoa; Chordata; Actinopteri; Cypriniformes; Danionidae. The record is from RNAcentral.
GGUAGAAUGGCCGAGUAGGCGGCGGUUUGUAGCACCGUGCACAGAGGUUUAAGCCCUCUUUCUAUCA